ACGCAGGGGGCGAGCGUUGUCCGGAUUCACUGGGCGUAAAGCGCGCGUAGGCGGCUCGUUAAGUCGGAUGUGAAAACCCGGGGCUCAACCCCGGGCCUGCACCCGAUACUGGCGGGCUGGAGGCAGGUAGGGGAGAUCGGAAUUCCCGGUGUAGCGGUGAAAUGCGCAGAUAUCGGGAGGAACACCGGUGGCGGAGGCGGAUCUCUGGGCCUGUCCUGACGCUCAGGCGCGAAAGCUAGGGGAGCAAACAGGA
Molecule: ribosomal RNA, 253 nt
Filed under: uncultured prokaryote
Description: partial 16S ribosomal RNA
Rfam family: Bacterial small subunit ribosomal RNA
Source: RNAcentral